UAGUUCAUUAAUUAUAUGCUAACGAUUUAUAUCUUUUUCGUGCAUCUAAUUAGCUAGUCGUCUUUAAGUGCUUAUACAGAACACGCCCUGAGCCAGCAUAGUGUGGCCGAUCUGCUCACGCAUGCAGUACAGCUGACAGUGAGGCUGCCACGAGUGACUGGCAGACAGACAGCUCCAGAGGCUUCAUCUCCAAGCCUGCUCUGCAAUGAAACCUCGAUUAUUCUUCUCCUCCUUCCCUGACCCCGUCCAACUCCAACCUACCGCUUUCUUAUUUUUUCCCCAAAGGUUCUCCAACCAAAUGGAUCGAUUAUUGCAGCAUCAGACCAGAGUCUAGUAGAGUACUUAACGCUGCGAAUUGCCAGGGAUGCAGUAGCUACAAACAAACAAUCUGGUUAUCGUCUGGUGGCCAUGAUUAGCAUCGCUAAUCAAAACAAAGCAUCUGAGAGGGGCCUAAUUGAUCAGGAGGAGAUGAGAUGAGAUGAGAUUCCUUGCCCUUGUUUAAGCAGGGGAGAGGGAGCAGUGUAGGGGCCACGCCGUCGUCGUCUCCACUGUCCAGUGUCCACUCGCAUCGCAUCUGGCUCUCUGGCUGGCAGGCUUGCAGCUAUGGGCAAAUCGUGGAGACCAUGCCGGUGUACCGCAGGAGAUGGCUACUUGUUGCCUUGUGCCCUUGUUGGCAAUGGCAAUACCUGGCUCUGUACUGGGUCUGGGACUCAUCAGUCUAUGAUUAGUUCUCUUCCAAAAGUUAAAAUCAGCAACUUGCUCGUUUUUCAUUUGCACGUAUUUCGAACAGUUAAAUAACGUGUUUUGUGUAAAAGUUUUGUAUACAAUUUUUUAAAAGAUCGAUUUAAACCAUUUUUAAAUAUAA
Molecule: long non-coding RNA, 865 nt
Organism: Oryza sativa Japonica Group (Japanese rice)
Lineage: Eukaryota; Viridiplantae; Streptophyta; Magnoliopsida; Poales; Poaceae
Source: RefSeq, a predicted model, not a curated record